This 468-nucleotide ribosomal RNA is filed under the name uncultured bacterium. Its description in RNAcentral is "partial 16S ribosomal RNA". It matches the Rfam family "Bacterial small subunit ribosomal RNA", at positions 28 to 507 of the family's 1533-position model. The record is from RNAcentral.
GACGAACGCUGGCGGCGUGCUUAACACAUGCAAGUCGAACGGAAAGGCCCUGCUUUUGUGGGGUGCUCGAGUGGCGAACGGGUGAGUAACACGUGAGUAACCUGCCCUUGACUUUGGGAUAACUUCAGGAAACUGGGGCUAAUACCGGAUAUGAUCUCCUGCUGCACGGUGGGGGUUGGAAAGUUUCGGCGGUUGGGGAUGGACUCGCGGCUUAUCAGCUUGUUGGGGUGGUAGUGGCUUACCAAGGCUUUGACGGGUAGCCGGCCUGAGAGGGUGACCGGCCACAUUGGGACUGAGAUACGGCCCAGACUCCUACGGGAGGCAGCAGUGGAGAAUAUUGCACAAUGGGCGGAAGCCUGAUGCAGCAACGCCGCGUGCGGGAUGACGGCCUUCGGGUUGUAAACCGAUUUCGCCUGUGACGAAGCGUGAGUGACGGUAAUGGGUAAAGAAGCCCCGGCUAACUACGUG